This 362-nucleotide ribosomal RNA is filed under the name Escherichia coli. RNAcentral describes it as "bacterial SSU rRNA". It matches the Rfam family "Bacterial small subunit ribosomal RNA", at positions 1172 to 1533 of the family's 1533-position model. Lineage: Bacteria; Pseudomonadati; Pseudomonadota; Gammaproteobacteria; Enterobacterales; Enterobacteriaceae. RNAcentral also lists the same sequence under 1 other name. The record is from RNAcentral.
GGUGGGGAUGACGUCAAGUCAUCAUGGCCCUUACGACCAGGGCUACACACGUGCUACAAUGGCGCAUACAAAGAGAAGCGACCUCGCGAGAGCAAGCGGACCUCAUAAAGUGCGUCGUAGUCCGGAUUGGAGUCUGCAACUCGACUCCAUGAAGUCGGAAUCGCUAGUAAUCGUGGAUCAGAAUGCCACGGUGAAUACGUUCCCGGGCCUUGUACACACCGCCCGUCACACCAUGGGAGUGGGUUGCAAAAGAAGUAGGUAGCUUAACCUUCGGGAGGGCGCUUACCACUUUGUGAUUCAUGACUGGGGUGAAGUCGUAACAAGGUAACCGUAGGGGAACCUGCGGUUGGAUCACCUCCUUA